Molecule: ribosomal RNA, 301 nt
Filed under: uncultured bacterium
Lineage: Bacteria
Description: partial 16S ribosomal RNA
Rfam family: Bacterial small subunit ribosomal RNA
Source: RNAcentral
CAGUAGCCGCGGUAAUACAGAGGGUGCGAGCGUUAAUCGGAUUUACUGGGCGUAAAGCGUGCGUAGGCGGCUUCUUAAGUCGGAUGUGAAAUCCCUGAGCUUAACUUAGGAAUUGCAUUCGAUACUGGGAAGCUAGAGUAUGGGAGAGGAUGGUAGAAUUCCAGGUGUAGCGGUGAAAUGCGUAGAGAUCUGGAGGAAUACCGAUGGCGAAGGCAGCCAUCUGGCCUAAUACUGACGCUGAGGUACGAAAGCAUGGGGAGCAAACAGGAUUAGAUACCCCCGUAGUCCCUGUCUUUAUACA